AAGAAGAGACGCAAGCAAGGCUAGGGCUCCAAAAUUUUCCAAGUUUAAUUGGUUAGUAAAUUUAGUCUAUUUCUUGAAAUCUUCAUGUUUUUGGAAUCCUAGUACUAAGUAUUACUCGAUUCAUGUUGAAAUUUUAGCAUUGAUUGAGUUUUUAAAGGUUGUUAAUGUUGAAUAAUUUUAGUAUUAAUGAUUAAAUUGAUAGAUUUUAAGCUAAAAGUAAAAAAGAAUUAAAUUUUAGAAUAGAUUCUAAAAUUUGAGUAAUAGGGAUUAAAUUGUAAAAUUUUCAAAAUUUAGGGAUUUAAGUGAAAAUAAGAAGUUAAAUUUAGUUUAAAAUGGAAUUUGUAUGAAAAUAUAUAAUUAAAUGUGAAGAAUAAAAAUUAGUCUUGGUUUAGGGGCUAAAUUAAAAUUUAGGCAAAUAUUGAGUAAAAAUUAAAAUAUUCAAUAUGAAAUUGAAUUAUGUUGUAUUGAUCAAUUUUCAUUGUUUUAAUUCCGUAGCUAACAUCAUACCGGAAUCCUCGAUUAAAAAAGGAAAAGAUAAGGUCGACGUCGAAUAGUUCGGAAUUAUUGGUUUGUAUUUCUAUAAUCUGAAUUAAGUUGUAAAAUUAUUGCAUUUUAAUUUCUUGUAUAUGGUAAGUAUUGAAGGUGAAAACUAUUGUGUUUUACGAUUGAAAUUGAUUGAUUCAGUAAGUGAUAAAUUUAUUAAAUUUAUAUGAAUUGAAUUAAAUUCAUAUGUAUACAUGUGAUAAUGUGAUUAUAUGAAAAUUUGAUAUUGGAUAUUGGUUAUAUUUGAAAAGUGAAUUGGAACUCUAUUAACUGUAUUGGGCUAGUCGGAUAUAAAUGGCAUGUCAUAGGAUAGGAAGAGUUCAGGAAUUUAUUUGACUUUGAUUCGAUGAGGCACUAGGUGCCAAUUUACUUCGGUUUAACCGAUGGGACACUAGGUGUCAAUGUAUAUAGUGCUGGGCGCAUAUUACUUCGGAUUUAUCCGAUGAGACAUUGAGUGCCAAACAUGUGUGUUGGUUAAAUCCGUGUAUUCGUCCGAAUUUGAGUCGCGUUAAUAGGGUAAUUAAAUAAAACGAUACUAUGAUUGAUAUUGGAUGAUAUUGCAUGUGAAUUGAAAAUGAGAUAGUGAAUUGAAACAUGAAAAUGAGAUACAUGAAUUAUGUAUUCAUGAAUUGGAUAUGUAAUAGAUCAUGUUAUGUGGAUCAAAUUGUGAAAAGCUAUUAUAUAGCAAGUGACGAGAAUUGAGUCUGGUAUGAAAUGGUGUAUUUAUGAAUUGAGUAUUAAAUGGCUAAUGUCAUUGCAUGAAUAAAUGUGGUUUUAAUUAUUCAAUUGUCCUUAUAAUUAAUAUGUCCAUAUUAUAUUAUUAUAUUUUUAAAUAUUCGGAUUAUAGAAAUAUCACUGAGUUUUACUCAGCAUACGAUUUUGUUUUUCGUGUACAGAUUAGGUUCUUAACUUUUGAUCGCCAAUUCAGCAUCCAACAACGAUCCUAACCUCAAAUGUAGUGAUGUUUACCUUUUGUGUUGGC
This 1525-nucleotide long non-coding RNA is filed under the name Gossypium barbadense (sea-island cotton). RNAcentral describes it as "long non-coding RNA (GBAR_LNC020392)". Lineage: Eukaryota; Viridiplantae; Streptophyta; Magnoliopsida; Malvales; Malvaceae. The record is from RNAcentral.